ACAUUACUUUUCAUAUUUGUAUCGUAUAUCGUCAAGAAUAAGGCUUGACAGUUUCUACCGGGCUGCCGUAAAUGGCCUGACUACGAACGAAUAGAAAGAGAAU
This 103-nucleotide non-coding RNA is filed under the name Domibacillus iocasae. Its description in RNAcentral is "Guanine sequence". It matches the Rfam family "Purine riboswitch aptamer". Rfam says of the family: Riboswitches are metabolite binding domains within certain messenger RNAs that serve as precision sensors for their corresponding targets. Allosteric rearrangement of mRNA structure is mediated by ligand binding, and this results in modulation of gene expression. Lineage: Bacteria; Bacillati; Bacillota; Bacilli; Caryophanales; Bacillaceae. The record is from RNAcentral.